This 792-nucleotide ribosomal RNA is filed under the name uncultured bacterium. RNAcentral describes it as "bacterial SSU rRNA". It matches the Rfam family "Bacterial small subunit ribosomal RNA", at positions 8 to 796 of the family's 1533-position model. The record is from RNAcentral.
AGAGUUUGAUCAUGGCUCAGAUUGAACGCUGGCGGCAUGCCUUACACAUGCAAGUCGAACGGAUUGAGGGGCUUGCUCCUCAGUUAGUGGCGAACGGGUGAGUAAUGCAUCGGAACGUGCCCAGUCGUGGGGGAUAACUACUCGAAAGAGUAGCUAAUACCGCAUACGCCCUGAGGGGGAAAGCGGGGGACUCGCAAGACCUCGCGCGAUUGGAGCGGCCGAUGUCAGAUUAGCUAGUUGGUAGGGUAAAAGCCUACCAAGGCGACGAUCUGUAGCUGGUCUGAGAGGACGACCAGCCACACUGGGACUGAGACACGGCCCAGACUCCUACGGGAGGCAGCAGUGGGGAAUUUUGGACAAUGGGCGAAAGCCUGAUCCAGCCAUGCCGCGUGAGUGAAGAAGGCCUUCGGGUUGUAAAGCUCUUUCGGACAGAAAGAAAUCGCAUGAACUAAUACUUUGUGCGGAUGACGGUACUGUAAGAAGAAGCACCGGCUAACUACGUGCCAGCAGCCGCGGUAAUACGUAGGGUGCGAGCGUUAAUCGGAAUUACUGGGCGUAAAGGGUGCGCAGGCGGUUAUAUAAGACAGAUGUGAAAUCCCCGGGCUCAACCUGGGAACUGCGUUUGUGACUGUAUGACUAGAGUACGGUAGAGAGGGGUGGAAUUCCUGGUGUAGCAGUGAAAUGCGUAGAUAUCAGGAGGAACAUCGAUGGCGAAGGCAGCCCCUUGGACCUGUACUGACGCUCAUGCACGAAAGCGUGGGGAGCAAACAGGAUUAGAUACCCUAGUAGUCC